Molecule: ribosomal RNA, 255 nt
Filed under: Bacillus halotolerans
Lineage: Bacteria; Bacillati; Bacillota; Bacilli; Caryophanales; Bacillaceae
Description: partial 23S ribosomal RNA
Rfam family: Bacterial large subunit ribosomal RNA
Source: RNAcentral
CCGAAUGCCUAAGGUUUCCUGAGGAAGGCUCGUCCGCUCAGGGUUAGUCGGGACCUAAGCCGAGGCCGAAAGGCGUAGGCGAUGGACAACAGGUUGAUAUUCCUGUACCACCUCCUCACCAUUUGAGUAAUGGGGGGACGCAGGAGGAUAGGGUAAGCGCGGUAUUGGAUAUCCGCGUCCAAGCAGUUAGGCUGGGAAAUAGGCAAAUCCGUUUCCCAUAAGGCUGAGCUGUGAUGGCGAGCGAAAUAUAGUAGC